Molecule: unclassified non-coding RNA, 193 nt
Filed under: Glomus sp.
Lineage: Eukaryota; Fungi; Glomeromycota; Glomeromycetes; Glomerales; Glomeraceae
Description: partial contains 5.8S ribosomal RNA and internal transcribed spacer 2
Rfam family: 5.8S ribosomal RNA (bases 1-71)
Source: RNAcentral
GUGAAUCAUCGAAUCUUUGAACGCAAAUUGCACUCUCUGGUAUUCCGGAGAGUAUGCCUGUUUGAGGGUCAGUUUAAAUACAAAUCGGUGUGGUUGCUGCCUUUCCUGGUCACGCACUGGAUGUGGGGCUUCUUGCCUUCGGUUAAGUGACCUAAAACUCCGCAUGAUUGUUUUCGAACGUUUUCUAAUGAUU